RNAcentral lists this ribosomal RNA (407 nucleotides) under uncultured bacterium. RNAcentral describes it as "bacterial SSU rRNA". It matches the Rfam family "Bacterial small subunit ribosomal RNA", at positions 355 to 776 of the family's 1533-position model. The record is from RNAcentral.
UGGGGAAUUUUACGCAAUGGGCGAAAGCCUGACGUAGCGACACCGCGUGAGCGAAGAAGCCCCUUGGGGUGUAAAGCUCUGUCAGCUGGAACGAAAAAAAUGACGGUACCAGCAGAGGAAGCAUCGGCUAACUACGUGCCAGCAGCCGCGGUAAGACGUAGGAUGCAAGCGUUGUCCGGAUUUAUUGGGCGUAAAGAGUUCGUAGGUGGUUUGUUAAGUUUGGUGUUAAAGAUUGGGGCUCAACCCUGAAACUGCACUGAAUACUGGCAGACUCGAGUGUGGUAGAGGCUAGUGGAAUUCCCAGUGUAGCGGUGAAAUGCGUAGAUAUUGGGAAGAACACCGGUGGCGUAGGCGACUAGCUGGGCCAUAACUGACACUGAGGAACGAAAGCCAGGGGAGCGAAUGGG